This 920-nucleotide ribosomal RNA is filed under the name uncultured bacterium. RNAcentral's name for it is "bacterial SSU rRNA". It matches the Rfam family "Bacterial small subunit ribosomal RNA", at positions 33 to 942 of the family's 1533-position model. The record is from RNAcentral.
ACGCUGGCGGCAUGCUUUACACAUGCAAGUCGGACGGCAGCACAGAGAAGCUUGCUUCUUGGGUGGCGAGUGGCGAACGGGUGAGUAACAUAUCGGAACGUACCGAGUAAUGGGGGAUAACUAAUCGAAAGAUUAGCUAAUACCGCAUAUUCUCUGAGGAGGAAAGCAGGGGACCUUCGGGCCUUGCGUUAUUCGAGCGGCCGAUAUCUGAUUAGCUAGUUGGUGGGGUAAAGGCCUACCAAGGCGACGAUCGGUAGCGGGUCUGAGAGGAUGAUCCGCCACACUGGGACUGAGACACGGCCCAGACUCCUACGGGAGGCAGCAGUGGGGAAUUUUGGACAAUGGGCGCAAGCCUGAUCCAGCCAUGCCGCGUGUCUGAAGAAGGCCUUCGGGUUGUAAAGGACUUUUGUCAGGGAAGAAAAGGCUGUUGCUAAUACCGACAGUCGAUGACGGUACCUGAAGAAUAAGCACCGGCUAACUACGUGCCAGCAGCCGCGGUAAUACGUAGGGUGCGAGCGUUAAUCGGAAUUACUGGGCGUAAAGCGAGCGCAGACGGUUACUUAAGCAGGAUGUGAAAUCCCCGGGCUCAACCUGGGAACUGCGUUCUGAACUGGGUGACUAGAGUGUGUCAGAGGGAGGUAGAAUUCCACGUGUAGCAGUGAAAUGCGUAGAGAUGUGGAGGAAUACCGAUGGCGAAGGCAGCCUCCUGGGAUAACACUAACGUUCAUGCUCGAAAGCGUGGGUAGCAAACAGGAUUAGAUACCCUGGUAGUCCACGCCCUAAACGAUGUCAAUUAGCUGUUGGGCAACUUGAUUGCUUAGUAGCGUAGCUAACGCGUGAAAUUGACCGCCUGGGGAGUACGGUCGCAAGAUUAAAACUCAAAGGAAUUGACGGGGACCCGCACAAGCGGUGGAUGAUGU